RNAcentral lists this microRNA precursor (84 nucleotides) under Muntiacus reevesi (Reeves' muntjac). RNAcentral's name for it is "mir-491 microRNA precursor family". It matches the Rfam family "mir-491 microRNA precursor family". RNAcentral also lists the same sequence under 1 other name. The record is from Rfam by way of RNAcentral. Lineage: Eukaryota; Metazoa; Chordata; Mammalia; Artiodactyla; Cervidae.
UUGACUUAGCUGGGUAGUGGGGAACCCUUCCAUGAGGAGUAGAACACUCCUUGUGCAAGAUUCCCUUCUACCUGACUGGGUUGG